This 228-nucleotide ribosomal RNA is filed under the name Escherichia coli. Its description in RNAcentral is "partial 23S ribosomal RNA". It matches the Rfam family "Bacterial large subunit ribosomal RNA", at positions 471 to 701 of the family's 2925-position model. The record is from RNAcentral. Lineage: Bacteria; Pseudomonadati; Pseudomonadota; Gammaproteobacteria; Enterobacterales; Enterobacteriaceae.
UACUCCUGACUGACCGAUAGUGAACCAGUACCGUGAGGGAAAGGCGAAAAGAACCCCGGCGAGGGGAGUGAAAAAGAACCUGAAACCGUGUACGUACAAGCAGUGGGAGCACGCUUCGGCGUGUGACUGCGUACCUUUUGUAUAAUGGGUCAGCGACUUAUAUUCUGUAGCAAGGUUAACCGAAUAGGGGAGCCGAAGGGAAACCGAGUCUUAACUGGGCGUUAAGUU